CCUACGGGUGGCAGCAGUGAGGAAUAUUGGUCAAUGGGCGCGAGCCUGAACCAGCCAAGUAGCGUGAAGGAUGACUGCCCUACGGGUUGUAAACUUCUUUUAUAAAGGAAUAAAGUGAGGCACGUGUGCCUUUUUGUAUGUACUUUAGGAAUAAGGAUCGGCUAACUCCGUGCCAGCAGCCGCGGUAAUACGGAGGAUCCGAGCGUUAUCAGGAUUUGUUGGGUUUAAAGGGAGCGGAGGUGGGGUGUUAAGGCAGUUGUGAAAGUUUGCGGCUCAACCGUAAAAUUGCAAUUGAUACUGGCAGCCUUGAGUACAGUUGAGGUAUGUGGAAUUCGUGGUGUAGCGGUGAAAUGCUUAGAUAUCACGAAGAACUCCGAUUGCGAAGGCAGCUUACUAGACUGCCACUGACAUUGAUGCUCGAAAGUGUGGGUAUCAAACAGGAUUAGAUACCCCAGUAGUC
RNAcentral lists this ribosomal RNA (460 nucleotides) under uncultured bacterium. Its description in RNAcentral is "partial 16S ribosomal RNA". It matches the Rfam family "Bacterial small subunit ribosomal RNA", at positions 338 to 795 of the family's 1533-position model. The record is from RNAcentral.